RNAcentral lists this ribosomal RNA (797 nucleotides) under uncultured bacterium. RNAcentral describes it as "bacterial SSU rRNA". It matches the Rfam family "Bacterial small subunit ribosomal RNA", at positions 8 to 803 of the family's 1533-position model. The record is from RNAcentral.
AGAGUUUGAUCAUGGCUCAGGACGAACGCUGGCGGCGUGCUUAACACAUGCAAGUCGAGCGGUAAGGCCCCUUCGGGGGUACACGAGCGGCGAACGGGUGAGUAACACGUGAGUAACCUGCCCCUGACUCUGGGAUAAGCCUGGGAAACUGGGUCUAAUACCGGAUAUGACCUCGUGCCGCAUGGUGUGGGGUGGAAAGGUGUUUUUCCGGUCAGGGAUGGGCUCGCGGCCUAUCAGCUUGUUGGUGGGGUAACGGCCUACCAAGGCGAUGACGGGUAGCCGGCCUGAGAGGGCGACCGGCCACACUGGGACUGAGACACGGCCCAGACUCCUGCGGGAGGCAGCAGUAGGGAAUAUUGCGCAAUGGGCGGAAGCCUGACGCAGCGACGCCGCGUGGGGGAUGAAGGCCUUCGGGUUGUAAACCUCUUUUACCACUCACGAAGGCCCCUGGUUUUCUGGGGGUUGACGGUAGGUGGUGAAUAAGGACCGGCUAACUACGUGCCAGCAGCCGCGGUAAUACGUAGGGUCCGAGCGUUGUCCGGAAUUAUUGGGCGUAAAGAGCUCGUAGGCGGCCUGUCGCGUCUGCUGUGGAAGUCCGGGGCUUAACUCCGGGUGUGCAGUGGAUACGGGCAGGCUUGAGGUAGGUAGGGGAGACUGGAAUUCCUGGUGUAGCGGUGAAAUGCGCAGAUAUCAGGAGGAACACCGGUGGCGAAGGCGGGUCUCUGGGCCUUACCUGACGCUGAGGAGCGAAAGCGUGGGGAGCGAACAGGAUUAGAUACCCUGGUAGUCCACGCCGU